CGUGGCGUAUUUUUAAUGAAGAUGGACGCUGCCUGGAGAGAACAGCAAGUCCCGCCUUCAGCUCCUCAUACCGGUGGCCCAGCUCAUAUCAGGUGUCUGAAGGAGGCAGGUUCUGAGGAUUUGUGUUCUGAUGGCUUCUGAAGCUCCUACUCCAGGUUCAAGGGCAGCGGCUUCCAGGAGACCCCAACACUUCACAUUUUUGGUGGCAUGACUCCUGGCUCAAAAUAUGCAUAGAAUCAGAGAUAGACCACACAGCUUUAAGGAACUGAGGCUGACUUUAUGGAGCCAAUAAAGCCCCUUGGAAAACCAGAAGUCUGUUGCCUUGCUUGCAGUAUUCCCAGCAGCUUUCCCAGGUGUGGAAUUGCUGAAUCAUCUGAUAACUCUGUUAAACUGAGGAACUGCCACACUGUUUUCAUGACCCUGACAGCCUUGAGGAGUAUACACAAUUAGUUUACUUGUGAUUAGACUGUGGUUAUUGGCUUUGAGAAAGGAUACCACAGAAAAUGAGUAACUAAGUCUGCCCUGACCUCAGCAGUAGGAGGGGGAAGGUUCACCUCAUGGAAGGAAGUGCAGAGCUCUUUAUGCAGAUGACAGAACCUGUGCCGUUGGGAGGCUGAGAGGAGGCAGCAAAUGAUCGCAGCUCCUCAUACCGGUGGCCCAGCUCAUAUCAGGUGUCUGAAGGAGGCAGGUUCUGAGGAUCUGUGUCCUGAUGGCUCCUGAAGCUCCUACUCCAGGUUCAAGGGCAGCGGCUUCCAGGAAACCCCAACACUUCACAUCUUUAGUGGGAUAUGACUCCAGACUGAAGUUAAUUUCUAGGACAGAGAUCAGAGUUCAGCGGUUGCUAAUUGAUAGACCCUGCCUUCCUACAUAUACAGUUUGAGAUGGGUGAAGCAAUUUCUUAUUGAGCCCCAGGAAGAAGAAAUAGUACAGAAGAGAAAAGAAUAGGAACGGGUCAGCUAGACAGAAGAUGGGAGUCAUGAAACUUGUGUCCCGGUUGCUGGAUCCUUUAACUGACCACAGGGCCUUAGCCUGAAGAUGUAAGGCGUUUUGCUUUCAACUAAAGGUGUGGCGGUAGAGAAGUAUGAGGAGGUAUUUCGCAUCUGGAAGACUUGCCGGCGCCUGGCGGUUGCCGUAGAAACCUGACGUCAAUACGGCGACCGUGACGACAUUUUAAAGGAGACGGACGCUGCCUGGGAGACAGCAGUUGGCUGAAUCUUAUUGUGACGUGGCUGGAUGAUGAAUGAUCUGAGGACCCCUGCACUGGUGACUGGGAACAUGCUCCAGUUCUUCCUGUGAGUGAAUUGAAGACUAACUAGGAGAGCUUCUUAUAAUCCUUUAAAGAAGAACAUUUUUGUGGUAGGUGGAAUUCUAAGAUGGCCCCUAAGAUUCCCACCCUUUGGUGUGCACACCCUGUACAAUAACUUCCCCUUGAUUGUGGGCGGGCUCUGUGAAUAUGAUGGCAAAGGGAUUUUGCAGAUUUUGCUUCUGAGUUAAUCAAAAUAAAAAUUAUCCUGAGUAGACCUGACCUAAUCAGGUUAGCCGUUAAAGGAGGUAAGAAGCAACUGUUGACCUUGAAGACAGUAGUAUAUCUAAGUUGAAAGUGUUUUCCUUAAAAUGUAUAUGGUCCUUACAAUAGAAUAUUAUUAGGCAAUAAAAAGGAAUGUGGUACUGAUACGUGUUACAACACAGAUGAACCUUGAAAACGGCAUACUAAGUGAAAGAAGCCAGCCACAGAAAGCCAUGUGUAUAAUUUCACUUAGUCAUUUAUAUGUAAUAUCCAGAUAGGCAAAUCCCUAGAAAUAGAAAGUAGGUUAGUGUUUGUCAGACACUGGGGAGAGGUAAAUGAGGAGUGACUGCUAAUGGAUACAGGGUUUCUUCUGGGGGUGAUGAAAAUGUUCUCAAAUUAGAUUAUGGUGAUGGAUAGUUGCACAGCUCUGUGAAUAUAUUAAAGAACACUGAAUUAUAUAAUUUAAA
Molecule: long non-coding RNA, 1974 nt
Organism: Camelus dromedarius (Arabian camel)
Lineage: Eukaryota; Metazoa; Chordata; Mammalia; Artiodactyla; Camelidae
Exons: 12
Source: RefSeq, a predicted model, not a curated record